This 542-nucleotide long non-coding RNA is filed under the name Sus scrofa (pig). RNAcentral describes it as "lncRNA (ENSSSCG00070027965.1)". Lineage: Eukaryota; Metazoa; Chordata; Mammalia; Artiodactyla; Suidae. The record is from RNAcentral.
GUGAUCCUUUAAUUAAGAUGAGGUUUCUUUUGUACCUGGACUGUAUCUUUUUGAUGUGUUAGGAUAGAGAGGACAGGACUGGAGCAGAAACAAUGAAAGUUUGCUACUGUAUGAAUUCCCUCUCCUUAGCCUUAAUCCUGUCCUUAUUGGGGCCUUGGGUGGAAAGCUGAUAAUUUUGGUGAGCCCGAAAAGAAAGGCUAUGGCUUGAAUUCCUGCCACCAUCCUCUGGAUAAUGAACAGCCCUAAUGAAUGCGGGUGGGGAACCUGGGAAGAUUGAAUGUCCUCUGGAGUCCACGGGGGUUUCCAGGGGGAGAAGCAAAACAAAACGGAGCAUAGCGGCACAGUGGGACAGACUUUCCCAAGAUCCCCAGCUGGAUACCCCAAGAGAUCCAGCAGAAGAAAAACCAAAGCUGUAUAUGAGAUAAUUCUACAACACAGGGCAUCCAGUUUACCUAUGGAGAAAAUGAAGCUAAGGGUGAACUCAUGAUUUAAAGAUACAAACCUGAAAUAACAGCUGCAAAUAAAACCACAGAACAAAAGCA